AAAAGUGAAAGACGGUCUUGCUGUCACUUAUAGAUGGAUCCGCGCUGCAUUAGCUAGUUGGUAAGGUAACGGCUUACCAAGGCAACGAUGCAUAGCCGACCUGAGAGGGUGAUCGGCCACACUGGAACUGAGACACGGUCCAGACUCCUACGGGAGGCAGCAGUAGGGAAUCUUCCGCAAUGGGCGAAAGCCUGACGGAGCAACGCCGCGUGAGUGAUGAAGGUCUUCGGAUCGUAAAACUCUGUUAUUAGGGAAGAACAUAUGUGUAAGUAACUGUGCACAUCUUGACGGUACCUAAUCAGAAAGCCACGGCUAACUACGUGCCAGCAGCCGCGGUAAUACGUAGGUGGCAAGCGUUAUCCGGAAUUAUUGGGCGUAAAGCGCGCGUAGGCGGUUUUUUAAGUCUGAUGUGAA
Molecule: ribosomal RNA, 414 nt
Filed under: Staphylococcus aureus
Lineage: Bacteria; Bacillati; Bacillota; Bacilli; Caryophanales; Staphylococcaceae
Description: bacterial SSU rRNA
Rfam family: Bacterial small subunit ribosomal RNA
Source: RNAcentral